Molecule: ribosomal RNA, 279 nt
Filed under: uncultured bacterium
Lineage: Bacteria
Description: partial 16S ribosomal RNA
Rfam family: Bacterial small subunit ribosomal RNA
Source: RNAcentral
UGCCAGCCGCCGCGGUAAUACGGAGGGGGCGAGCGUUGUUCGGAAUUACUGGGCGUAAAGCGCACGUAGGCGGAUUGGUCAGUUGGGGGUGAAAUCCCGAGGCUUAACCUCGGAACUGCCCUCAAUACUGCCAAUCUAGAGAUCGGAAGAGGUAAGUGGAAUUCCUAGUGUAGGAGUGAAAUCCGUAGAUAUUCGGAGGAACACCAGUGGCGAAGGCGGCUUUCUGGACCAAUACUGGCGCUGAGAUGCGAAAGCGUGGGGAGCGAACAGGAUUAGAUA